ACGGUAACGAACUAGCUUGCUAGUUGCUGACGAGUGGCGGACGGGUGAGUAAUACUUAGGGAUCUGCCUCUGUGUGGGGGAUAACUAUUGGAAACGAUAGCUAAUACCGCAUAACGUCUCCGGACCAAAGAGGGCUUUCGAGCUCUCGCGCAGAGAGGAACCUAAGCGAGAUUAGCUUGUUGGUGAGGUAAAGGCUCACCAAGGCGACGAUCUCUAGCUGUUCUGAGAGGAAGAUCAGCCACACUGGAACUGAGACACGGUCCAGACUCCUACGGGAGGCAGCAGUGGGGAAUAUUGCACAAUGGGGGCAACCCUGAUGCAGCCAUGCCGCGUGUGUGAAGAAGGCCUUCGGGUUGUAAAGCACUUUCAGUUGUGAGGAAAGUUAUGUAGUUAAUACCUGCAUGAUGUGACGUUAACAACAGAAGAAGCACCGGCUAACUCCGUGCCAGCAGCCGCGGUAAUACGGAGGGUGCGAGCGUUAAUCGGAAUUACUGGGCGUAAAGCGCACGCAGGCGGUCUGUUAAGCUAGAUGUGAAAGCCCCGCGCUCAACGUGGGAGGGUCAUUUAGAACUGGCAGACUAGAGUCUUGGAGAGGGGAGUGGAAUUCCAGGUGUAGCGGUGAAAUGCGUAGAGAUCUGGAGGAACAUCAAUGGCGAAGGCAACUCCCUGGCCAAAGACUGACGCUCAUGUGCGAAAGUGUGGGUAGCGAACAGGAUUAGAUACCCUGGUAGUCCACACCGUAAACGCUGUCUACUAGCUGUUUGUGGAUUUAAUCCGUGAGUAGCGAAGCUAACGCGAUAAGUAGACCGCCUGGGGAGUACGGCCG
Molecule: ribosomal RNA, 826 nt
Filed under: uncultured Gammaproteobacteria bacterium
Lineage: Bacteria; Pseudomonadati; Pseudomonadota; Gammaproteobacteria
Description: bacterial SSU rRNA
Rfam family: Bacterial small subunit ribosomal RNA
Source: RNAcentral